Molecule: ribosomal RNA, 506 nt
Filed under: uncultured bacterium
Lineage: Bacteria
Description: bacterial SSU rRNA
Rfam family: Bacterial small subunit ribosomal RNA
Source: RNAcentral
GAUGAACGCUGGCGGCGUGCCUCAAACAUGCAAGUCGAGCGGGGCUAUGUAAUAUCGCAAGGUAGAACAUAGCCUAGCGGCGAACGGGUGAGUAACACGUGGGUAACCUGCCUGGAAGACAGGGAUAACGAUUCGAAAGGGUCGCUAAUACCUGAUAAUAUCCUUUCAUCGCAUGGUGAUAGGAAGAAAGGGGAAACCCGCUUUCAGAUGGGCCCGCGUCCCAUCAGCUAGUUGGUAAGGUAAAGGCUUACCAAGGCGACGACGGGUAGCCGGUCUGAGAGGAUGUACGGCCACACUGGGACUGAGAUACGGCCCAGACUCCUACGGGAGGCAGCAGUUGGGAAUCUUAGGCAAUGGACGAAAGUCUGACCUAGCGACGCCGCGUGAGGGAAGAAGGCCUUCGGGUUGUAAACCUCUGUCAUGGGGAAGGAAGUAAGUGACGGUACCCCGAACGAGGAAGCCCCUCGCUAACUACGUGCCAGCAGCCGCGGUAAAAGUACGUCUAU